Molecule: transfer RNA, 76 nt
Filed under: Paucibacter sediminis
Lineage: Bacteria; Pseudomonadati; Pseudomonadota; Betaproteobacteria; Burkholderiales; Sphaerotilaceae
Also listed under: 1 other name
Description: Paucibacter sp. S2-9 tRNA-Pro
Rfam family: tRNA
About the family: Transfer RNA (tRNA) molecules are approximately 80 nucleotides in length. Their secondary structure includes four short double-helical elements and three loops (D, anti-codon, and T loops).
Source: RNAcentral
CCGUGUGUAGCGCAACUGGUAGCGCAUCUGCUUUGGGAGCAGGCGGUUGCAGGUUCAAGUCCUGCCGCACGGACCA